AACAGGAACUGUAAAUAAGCAGAAACAAGUACAACUCUUGUUGCCUGAGAAGUUAGGAUGACAUGAUUGGGUGUGUCUUGUGAGUGAUGAGUACAGAAAUUAAAAUUAUUGCAACAGUGAACUGUGAAGCAUUUUAAAUCUCAUAGGAAAUCUCCUGCUACUGGAGGACCAGCAAGGAAGAAGAUGUAACAGCAGUGGAAAACAAGAGGAGAUAUGCAAACUACUGAUUCCUUCGAGGUGAGAUGCAAGACACGUGGAGAGGAGGGAACCACUAGAUCAGGUUAAAGUGGGGAGGAAAAAAACAAACCCAGAACCAUCAUU
This 321-nucleotide long non-coding RNA is filed under the name Cyanistes caeruleus (blue tit). Its description in RNAcentral is "lncRNA (ENSCCEG00000013691.1)". Lineage: Eukaryota; Metazoa; Chordata; Aves; Passeriformes; Paridae. The record is from RNAcentral.